UCUCAGUUCGGAUCGGAGUCUGCAACCCGACUCCGUGAAGCUGGAUUCGCUAGUAAUCGCGCAUCAGCCAUGGCGCGGUGAAUACGUUCCCGGGCCUUGUACACACCGCCCGUCAAGCCAUGGAAGCCGGGGGUGCCUGAAGUGUGCAACCGCAAGGAGCGCCCUAAGGUAAAACCGGUGACUGGGGCUAAGUCGUAACAAGGUAGC
This 207-nucleotide ribosomal RNA is filed under the name uncultured bacterium. Its description in RNAcentral is "partial 16S ribosomal RNA". It matches the Rfam family "Bacterial small subunit ribosomal RNA", at positions 1286 to 1500 of the family's 1533-position model. The record is from RNAcentral.